This 275-nucleotide long non-coding RNA is filed under the name Pan troglodytes (chimpanzee). RNAcentral's name for it is "long non-coding RNA NONPTRT003817". Lineage: Eukaryota; Metazoa; Chordata; Mammalia; Primates; Hominidae. The record is from RNAcentral.
UGGACAUUGGAAUUGGAUUUUUACACUUGAUAUGACACCUCCUUGAGUCAGAUCAGAUUCGUGUUUGAUAGACUCUUGCCAAAAAAUUGCUCCAGGGUCUGUGCGGUAGCUAAAGCCUUUUUGUUGUUUCAGCCACCUGGGUAACUGGGACCACAGACACACACCACCACACCAGGCUAAUUUUUGUAUUUUUUGUAAAGACACGGUCUUGCUAUGUUGCCCAGGCUAGUCUUGAACUUCUGUGUGCACCCACCUCAGCCUCCUGCAUUUUUAGG